GUGUUAAGUGUUUUAUUCAAAGCACGUCCUACUGGGUGUGCCAUCUUAUGUCAUUACUGUCGUCAUGAAGUUCUCCCCCGGAUUCCAGCGCCAUCUUGAAAAUGAGAGUGUUUGGUCGAUGGGUGGGGUACUCCUGAGUGGCAUCUAGUGGUCAGUUUAGUAAUUUAUUGAAUAAUACUGAGUAUAACUAAAUGGAGUAAAUAGGCAUUUUACUAGCUAAAAAAUAUGUCAAUAUCUCAUUUCCACAAC
Pelobates cultripes (western spadefoot toad) is the source of this 249-nucleotide non-coding RNA. Lineage: Eukaryota; Metazoa; Chordata; Amphibia; Anura; Pelobatidae. The record is from the annotation of a GenBank genome assembly.